CAGUCGCCGCGGUAAUACGUAGGUGGCAAGCGUUGUCCGGAAUUAUUGGGCGUAAAGGGCUCGCAGGCGGUUUCUUAAGUCUGAUGUGAAAGCCCCCGGCUCAACCGGGGAGGGUCAUUGGAAACUAGGAAACUUGAGUGCAGAAGAGGAGAGUGGAAUUCCACGUGUAGCGGUGAAAUGCGUAGAGAUGUGGAGGAACACCAGUGGCGAAGGCGACUCUCUGGUCUGUAACUGACGCUGAGGAGCGAAAGCGUGGGGAGCGAACAGGAUUAGAUACCCCUGUAGUCCCUGUCUCUUAUAC
Molecule: ribosomal RNA, 301 nt
Filed under: uncultured bacterium
Lineage: Bacteria
Description: partial 16S ribosomal RNA
Rfam family: Bacterial small subunit ribosomal RNA
Source: RNAcentral